CCUACGGGUGACAGCAGUGAGGAAUAUUGGUCAAUGGGCGUAAGCCUGAACCAGCCAAGUCGCGUGCGGGAUGACGGUUCUAUGGAUCGUAAACCUCUUUUAUAAGGGAAUAAAGUGCGGGACGUGUCCCGUUUUGUAUGUACCUUAUGAAUAAGGAUCGGCUAACUCCGUGCCAGCAGCCGCGGUAAUACGGAGGAUCCGAGCGUUAUCCGGAUUUAUUGGGUUUAAAGGGUGCGUAGGCGGCCUGUUAAGUCUGCGGUGAAAUUCUGUGGCUCAACCAUAGAAUUGCCGUGGAAACUGGGGUGAUUGAGUAUGUUGGAGGCAGGCGGAAUGCGUGGUGUAGCGGUGAAAUGCUUAGAUAUGACGCAGAACCCCGAUUGCGAAGGCAGCUUGCCAAGCCAUGACUGACGCUGAUGCUCGAAAGCGUGGGGAUCGAACAGGAUUAGAUACCCGAGUAGUC
RNAcentral lists this ribosomal RNA (460 nucleotides) under uncultured bacterium. Its description in RNAcentral is "partial 16S ribosomal RNA". It matches the Rfam family "Bacterial small subunit ribosomal RNA", at positions 338 to 795 of the family's 1533-position model. The record is from RNAcentral.